ACAUUUACCUGGCAGGGGAGAUACCAUGUUCAAGAAGAUGGUUUUCCCAGGGUGAGGCUUAUCUAUAUGCUGACCGCUGCAAUUUCCCCAAAUGUUGGAAACUUGACCGCAUAAUUUGUGGUAGUGGGGGACUCUGC
This 137-nucleotide small nuclear RNA is filed under the name Spermophilus dauricus (Daurian ground squirrel). Its description in RNAcentral is "U1 spliceosomal RNA (ENSSDAG00000023526.1)". It matches the Rfam family "U1 spliceosomal RNA". From Rfam's summary of the family: U1 is a small nuclear RNA (snRNA) component of the spliceosome (involved in pre-mRNA splicing). Its 5' end forms complementary base pairs with the 5' splice junction, thus defining the 5' donor site of an intron. There are significant differences in sequence and secondary structure between metazoan and yeast U1 snRNAs, the latter being much longer (568 nucleotides as compared to 164 nucleotides in human). The record is from RNAcentral. Lineage: Eukaryota; Metazoa; Chordata; Mammalia; Rodentia; Sciuridae.